CUGGUGGGACCUUGGGUGGCUGACCUGUGACAGCGCCUGGGUGCUGAGGAGGCUUCUUCUCUCAGGAAGAGGCACAGCAAUAAUCUAUUUUCCCAAAUUCCACACCCUUGACUGAUGCUUUCAGCCUCACUUAAAUUAUUGCCUCGUUCUUUUGAUUGCUACACAAACCUUUGAAAAUAAACCGGAACAGCAAAUGACAUGGAGAUAAACCAAUGCCAGGAAAUGAAAGCCCAGGGAUGAGAUGAUUUUUAAGAGUUGAACUGAGCUGCAAGCAUGUGGACCAUGUAAGUGUUAACAGAGGCAGACAGAGAAGAGAGACCUGCCAUGAAGUGCUAUGGUGGGAGUUGUGUCAGUUCGGGAGUGGAGGAGUCCCAGGUGGCCCCAGAAGAAGAAGCCUCUGAACAAAGAAGACAAUGCUUGGGUUAUGGUGGAGGGGACAUGGAAGGUUAUGGGUUCUUCUGGAGUCUUCUGAACCUGCCGGGCAUUUCUGACUAG
Molecule: long non-coding RNA, 495 nt
Filed under: Rhinopithecus bieti (black snub-nosed monkey)
Lineage: Eukaryota; Metazoa; Chordata; Mammalia; Primates; Cercopithecidae
Description: lncRNA (ENSRBIG00000045885.1)
Source: RNAcentral